GUGGCAUCGACUCACUCCCAACCCCUGUGACAUACCACUUGUUGCCUCGGCGGAUCAGCCCGCUCCCGGUAAAACGGGACGGCCCGCCAGAGGACCCCUAAACUCUGUUUCUAUAUGUAACUUCUGAGUAAAACCAUAAAUAAAUCAAAACUUUCAACAACGGAUCUCUUGGUUCUGGCAUCGAUGAAGAACGCAGCAAAAUGCGAUAAGUAAUGUGAAUUGCAGAAUUCAGUGAAUCAUCGAAUCUUUGAACGCACAUUGCGCCCGCCAGUAUUCUGGCGGGCAUGCCUGUUCGAGCGUCAUUUCAACCCUCAAGCCCUCGGGUUUGGUGUUGGGGAUCGGCGAGCCUUUCUGGCAAGCCGGCCCCGAAAUCUAGUGGCGGUCUCGCUGCAGCCUCCAUUGCGUAGUAGUAAAACCCUCGCAACUGGAACGCGGCGCGGCCAAGCCGUUAAACCCCCAACUUCUGAAUGUUGACCUCGGAUCAGGUAGGAAUACCCGCUGAACUUAAGCAUAUCAAA
Molecule: ribosomal RNA, 518 nt
Filed under: Fusarium redolens
Lineage: Eukaryota; Fungi; Ascomycota; Sordariomycetes; Hypocreales; Nectriaceae
Description: eukaryotic LSU rRNA
Rfam family: 5.8S ribosomal RNA (bases 149-302)
Source: RNAcentral